Molecule: long non-coding RNA, 755 nt
Filed under: Glycine max (soybean)
Lineage: Eukaryota; Viridiplantae; Streptophyta; Magnoliopsida; Fabales; Fabaceae
Description: long non-coding RNA (GMAX_LNC000988)
Source: RNAcentral
UUUUUUUGAUACAUCCUCGCCUCCUCCGUCCUUCCUUCAACUUGGAGAUCUAGAAGGUGUGCCGCACGACGUUGUGCUCCGCCGUGGACGGUGGCCUCGUCAUGAACUCGCAGCACUCCGUGGGUUGAUUGCUAUGAAGCACGGAGACUCCAGCCCCUUGUCAUGUUCGGUGUCUGAUACGCGUCCAUGUAGUGUCCGACACCAACACGACACCCAUAUUAUGUUCUAUAGUUUGGACUUAUAGGGUAUCCACGUAUCAAUGUCGUGAUUGGUGUCCAUGUCGGUGUCGGUAUCGGUGCUUCAUAGGUUGAUUGUGGGAAACAAACUGUUAGACAACAGCCAUGGCAUUGCACCGCCGCAUCCAUCCACCACGAUAGUCUCUGGCCAAGCACACAUUAUACGGUCGUUGCGCCGCGUCAAUAAAUUGAAAGAAGUAGGGACAUGAAAACCUCCGUUUUCUGGCCUCGUCGGAAAACCUUUUCCGUUCGCCGAACAACCGCUUUCUAUUUUGACGUGCCUUUUUCAACAUCUCUGAAGGAAGUUGGUUUCGAUCUUCAAUGAGGCGUUGGAUCUCUUUGUGACGUGCUAUCAGCGUUCUCCGACCUAGCCUAGAUCUGAAAAAAGACCUAUGCGAUUUCUGCAUGCUAGAAGUUGUCAUGUAGAAACUAGUUAAAAAUGAAUAAGAAUGUGAUUAUAUAAGAUUAUGUCACUAGGAUAGGAAAAGUGUAGAGUUCUUAAUAAUAUUUUCAAUGAAA